Molecule: microRNA precursor, 57 nt
Filed under: Monodelphis domestica (gray short-tailed opossum)
Lineage: Eukaryota; Metazoa; Chordata; Mammalia; Didelphimorphia; Didelphidae
Description: microRNA mdo-mir-7244 precursor
Source: miRBase by way of RNAcentral
UAUGGGAAAAGCAGGUGAAAAUGUGAUAUGUAUUUUUUCACCUGUUCUUCCUAUAUU